AGGAUGCUCCUGAGCUCAAUUUUGAGUCUCAUAUCAAAAGGUACGUCCAUGAUAAGCAGUGUGUUUCUGCCACGGGAUAUUACUGUUUCAGUGUCUACCUCAUUCUUACCGCAGGAUUGAAAUGGCAAAUGAUGCCCUCCCUGAGAAUGCUUGUCGUUAUUGGAAGAUCACCAAUGCUAAUGUGAAUGUGGAGGAGGUGACUAGACUAGAGAUGAUUCUGUGGACUUAGCGUAAUGUUUCAUUCUCAGUUGUCUCCUUUUGGUAGCAGUGGACAAAAACCUGUUACGAUCUAAGAAUGAUUUGCAGCUAACGGAUUACUAAUGUAAUUUUCAUCAUACAGUUGAAGUCAGAAGUUUACAUACACUUAGGUUGGAGUCAUUAAAACUCAUUUUUCAACCACUCCACAAAUUUCUUGUUAACAAACUAUAGAAUAUUUAACUUAUAAUUCACUGUAUCACAAUUCCAGUGGGUCAGAAGUUUACAUACACUAAGUUGACUGUCUUUGGGACCCACCCUCUACACUAUUUGCUUGACAUCAUGGGAAAAUAAAAUCAGCCAAGAACUCAGAAAAAAAAUUGUAGACCUCCACAAGUCAGGUUCAUCCUUGGGAGCAAUUUCCAAACGCCUGAAGGUACCACGUUCAUCUGUACAAACAAUAGUGAUUUUAACAUGUAUUAACUCAGGACUGUGAAUACGUAUGUAAAUGUAUUUCUAAACACGUGUUUUCACUAUGGGUUAUUGUGUGUAAAUGGGUGAGAAAUAUAUUUUAUUUAAUUUUGAAUUCAGGCUGUAACAAAACAUUUUUUUUAAUAAGUCAAGGUGUAUGAAUACUUUUUGAAGGCAUUGUAUCUAGUUCACUUAUUUGUUUUUUCCCCCUCAUAAGACUGGACAAAUUCAAAGAAUUUACAGAGGAAGAACAAGAGAGAGAGAAAGUUAGAGGAACAAAGAUAAUACCCCCCAAAAUGCUCCCCUCUCACAAUUACCAUUAACAGAGGAGGUUAGCAUUUUUGCAGGGGUAUGAACUUUGUUUUUCUGUAACUUUCAUAGUCUUUAUUAUUCACGAUUCAUACAUAAUUAUCCACAAUCAUGGAAGCAUCCACGUUAAUGUAGUGUUCUGAAACAUCUAUUAUUUACAAUAAAUGUGACUCCAAAAUGACAAUACAUUAUUCACUAUUCAGUUCCUAUUGGGUGAAAGGUAAUCUGAAACACAACCAAAACAAACUGCAAAUCCAUCCAACAAGUACAGUCGUAUGAAAAUGUUUGGGCACCCCUCUGAGGCUGCAUAAUAAUUUACUCUGUCGUCACAGAAAAUGAUCACAGUGGCAUGCCAUUCAUUUUCUAAUAAAAGCUGAGUACUGGGGUAUUGUCCAGACAAAGAUUUUUAGUGUAGCAAUAUUAAGUUGUAUGAAAUUAAAUCAGAUGUGAAAAAUAGGCUAUGCAAAAA
Non-coding RNA from Oncorhynchus mykiss (rainbow trout), 1444 nucleotides. Lineage: Eukaryota; Metazoa; Chordata; Actinopteri; Salmoniformes; Salmonidae. The record is from RefSeq and is a predicted model, not a curated record.